UUAUCAUCUCUCACGCUAACAUCUUCCUCCAAACUUGAAAUUCUCUCUCCCGACUCUUUUCAAGAGAUCAUGUCUCCCUCUUUCAAAGCAGCUACCCUCUCCCUCUUUUCUCAGCCUUUCAACCCUAAUCUUUCUGUUAAUUCACAUCUGUUCUUUUCUAUUUUCUCAGGGCUCAAACACAGACUCUACCCAAACCUUUGACCAAUAAUUUUUUUAGGUUUUAUUGUUAAAACCGAACUUUAGUAUUUACUCAAACGUUUCAUCGUACCUCUCGCUCAAGCCCAGUCCCUAUCUUAGAAAGUCAAUGAUAUUUAAUGGUCAGAUUUGUUCAAACCGUGAAUUUCCAUCGCCUUCAAUUCAUCUGUGGGCUUCCAACAGAGACUUGGAAAAGGGUUGCAGAGACUCACUAAUGUUGACCAACCGAGUUGGCUAUGCGAUUGAAAGAAUAGUGGAAGCGAUAACAACAACCCAGACCCACCUACGGUUUCCUUCAAUUUUAUCAUCAUUCAAAUACUUUGGUUUGAUCAAAGCACAUGGAGGAGACCAUCAAUAUCAACAUGAUUAGAACGAUGUCAAAUGAAGAUUCAUUUUGGAUGACAACAACGUUAAGAGCUGGUUGAUGGCAGCCAGAUGGGGAGAGCUGGAAAUCACCAGGUCUUACUGAGAGACAGUAUCUCAGUGAUCAUUUUCUACACUUGGAGGCACUCAUAGUUUGUAUUAGAAUUUUCUUAUGCUCCCCUGAUCAAAUGGGAGCUUAAUUUUAGCCAAAGAUGCAAACUUUAAAAUUUGGUCAAGGUGUUGGUCCAACUCAUAGAGGAAUCUGGGGUUAAAAGCAAAGAUAAAAUUAGGAGCUUUGUUGAUAAUUAGCUUUUGAAUUGAUAGCCUAAGACCAGAUUAAAAGUAAAAUAUUUACAUAGAAUUGAAGUAAUGAAUUGGUCUAAGACUUAAACCAGAAAAUGCAUAUUAGCCUUUUUCUUCUGCUACCAACAAAGUUUGUCAUAUGAUUCACCAUGUACCAGUAAUUGUUUUUGCUUUUCAAAUAGCAUGCAUAAGUUACAAUUUGAUUA
This is a long non-coding RNA of Quercus robur (English oak), 1067 nucleotides long. RefSeq lists it as uncharacterized. The transcript is spliced from 2 exons. The record is from RefSeq and is a predicted model, not a curated record. Lineage: Eukaryota; Viridiplantae; Streptophyta; Magnoliopsida; Fagales; Fagaceae.